RNAcentral lists this long non-coding RNA (27140 nucleotides) under Eucalyptus grandis. RNAcentral describes it as "long non-coding RNA (EGRA_LNC001089)". The record is from RNAcentral. Lineage: Eukaryota; Viridiplantae; Streptophyta; Magnoliopsida; Myrtales; Myrtaceae.
UCCUGGCCAGAUCGAGGUCUGCCAUUGGAUAUAUGAGAAUAGCCUGAUAUGGACAAUUGCCAAGUCAUAAUGGAAGAACGAAGUGUGGUCAAGAUGGAAUAAACAUGGGUUCGGCCUGGUGAUCAAGAUAGAACUUGGUCUUUAGCUACCUCCAACCGAAAAUCNNNNNNNNNNNNNNNNNNNNNNNNNNNNNNNNNNNNNNNNNNNNNNNNNNNNNNNNNNNNNNNNNNNNNNNNNNNNNNNNNNNNNNNNNNNNNNNNNNNNUUUUUUUUUUUUUUUUUUUUUUUUUUUUUGUGAUUUGAGUACAUGUUCAAUUCUUUUGCAUUCUCCUGUCCUUUGUUACUAUCUUCGAGAAUUUUCUUCAAAUUUCGACGAGGACCAAUAACUAUUUUCACAGUACUAUUGUUAUAUAAACGAGAGACAGAUAAGAAUGCAGUUGUUUUUUGAUAAAAGAAAAAAACGAAAAGCUGCAAAAAUAGUUCAAGUGGCCCAGUGGUUGGGAGUCCCAACGUGAUCGUUUUUAUACGAGAAGAACAAGAGCUGCCCGGUUCAAUCUUGAAGUGGCACUUCCCACUUUUUCUCCCUCUGAAUUUUGCUUUUCAACUUUUCUGCAUUUAUCUUUUGUUUGCACUUUCUCGGUUACAUAAACUGCAUAUCAUCAGAUCAUUGCUUUCUUUUUUUUCUUUUCUUUAUUUUGCUUUUUUUAACCAUUUGUCAUUGGAAAAAGAUAAUUCAAUAAGAACCCACAAUACGCGAUUAGACUUCUAAAAUCCUAAAAACUUCACAUGAAUGAUUCUCAUAUGAUAAAAAUGUAAAAACUAAAUUUAUUUUUGUUUCGCUGGAAUUGCUCUCUUAAUUAAAUAUCUUUCACCGAAAGUUAUUCUUUGGUUUUAUUAAAGAGGACAAGGGUUAUGUGCCAACUCCAGACAAUGGAUAUCUUAUGCAAUAAGGAAUUGAACUUCUUUGGUCCUGUCGCGACCUACCCUCGGGGGGAGGGAACAGGUUUAGGGGUAUUGCCUAAAAGACGGGCCUAAGGCCCAUGAUUAGGCGCGAGCUCUCCCAAGCCUAUACCCCGCAUGACGUUGGGAUAUUCUUAAGAAAUUUUGCAUAAAAGGAGUCGCCACUAGCCUAUUGGGGUCGGCUAGAAACCAAGUGAGGCAUGGGAGUGUACCUCACUUCCUACGCAACCAGAGAAUUUAGGUUCGGGGACUUGAUUACACUAAUUAACCAAUUAGUGCCCUUUCGGUACCUAAUCUUGUUCAUUUUAACAAAAUGAUUUUUGGCAGGCAAUUUGGAUUGAUUUCAUAUUUAUCCACUAACAUGUGAGGUGAUCAUGCAGGCGCGCAAUCAUUAAAGUAAUAAUCAUAACUACCAAGAUCCUAAUUACAAUAAGAUUAAACACAUGCAAUCAAACAUAAUUAAAUAUGCAAAUUAAACAUACGACAUAAUCAAUAUGCAAGCAAAUAGAUGUCUAAUUACACUAAGAAAGCAAGAUAUAGCAAUUCCUAACCAAAUCACAUCAUUUUUGGAUUUUCGAAAUUUUUUAUUUUUGAUUUUUUUUUAAAAAAAAUUAUUUUUAAACAAAAUUAAUUUUUUUUUAAAAAAAAAUUGAAACUAUUUUCAAUAUUUAAUAUUUUUUUUGGAUUUUCGAAAUUUUUUAAUAUUUUUAAUUUCUUUUUAAAUAAUAAAAUAAACUUAAAAAUAAAAUUCGGGGCCGGACCGGGUCGGGUCCAGUCUGACCCGACUUGGGUUCAGCCCGUUCAAUGUGGGUCGGGUCCGGUCGUAGACCGGACCAGAUUUUGGCCUCGUCGGCGGCAACGGGCCCGAGUGGGCCCAAAAUUCUUUUUUUUUUUUUAAUACUUUAGUCAAGGCCCAAAGAAAAUUAAAAGACCCACCUAUUUCCUAAGCCCGCGAGAGCCCAACCCAAUUUACCUGAAUCUGAAGCCCGGCCCGAAGACAGACCCAAGGCUGACCCACUUCGAAGACCAAACCCUACCCAGUUUGGAGGGUCGCUUGACCCGGUUCUGACCCAAUUUGAGCCUCCUUCUCCAAGGCUUCUUGGCGGCACUGACACCGGGCAGCGAUGGCGGCGACGGCGGCGGCGCAGCGGGUGGCGGCGGCACAGGCAGCAACGGCGCGGUGCUGGUGCCGCAACGGGAUCGAAGGAGUGGCGUCAGCGGCAGUGGGCAGCGGCGGCGUCGUGGCUUCGGGCAGAGGAGCGGCUCGGACGACGUCGUAGGGGCAGCCAGAGGGCGGCAGGAGGAGGCUUUUGCAGAGGGUCGUGGAAGCUCGAGCUGCAGGCGAGUCGGGGCGCAGCGGUGGUGGCGCAGCGGCAGAUGAUGCGGCGGAGGGGAAAGACUCCCAGAUCUAAUCAAGCGUGAUCAGAUCUGGGCCUUUGGCGGAUCUCCAACGCGACGGGGCGGACUGGUGCUAGCUGCAGGAGCGGCCGAGACCGGCGAAGGGCGCGGAAACAACGACAGCGAGGCGGAGCUUCAAACGGUUGCAAGGCGGCAGCGGUGCGGCGACUAGUUCAGAUCUGCUAGCGUCGGGGGGCGCUAGCGCGGCGUCAAGUGGGCAGAGGCAGGGACGCUGGAGGUGAGCUACUGCAGGAGUCGCUCAGAGGUGCUGCAACGGCAGGUAGCGGAGCGGCGAGCACUGGACGAAGGUGGCGCGAGGUCGACGGGCGGCGCUCGGGCGGAGAGGGCAUCGAGCGCCUGGUGGAGGUGGCGCGAGCGUCAGGUCGUCGCAGCUGCAGCAGGGGGUCACGGACGCGCGGGCUGCAGGCGAGUCGAGGCGCGGCGGUGGUGGCACUGUGCUCGCGGACAAGCGGCUCCACCGCGCCGCGGCCGACGCAGCGAAGGCUUCCCGCGGCCGCGGGGCGGAGCCGCUGAGGCUCCUCUUUUCAUUGCUCCCUCUCUCUCUGUUUUGAACUCACUCUCCCUCUCUCCUCCUCCUGUCCCCCCUUUUUUUUGUUUCUCUCCCUCUGUCUUCACUUUCUCUCAUGUUUCUCUUCUGUUUUGCAGGUCCGCGUGCGAAGGAGGAAGACAGCCAGGCGUGGGCUGGAGGGGAAAGGAAGCAAGGCCGAGCCUAGGCCAGAUCAGGCCCAACUCGACCCCUUAAGCAUUUUUUGUUUUUUUUGGUUUUUUUAUGACAAUUUUUUUAUUUUUUUUAGCAAUUAAUUCCUAGUUUUGUAUGCGAUUAAGUUUUAAGUAAAAUAGUAAAAUUUAGGUGUCAACAGGUCCAAACAACAUUGAUUUUAGGUUGAGUCAGAAUUAAUCAACAACAAGGCAAAAAAAAAGUUACAAGGCCAAUCUCAAACUAUGUUGGAAUUUAAUCAACAACACAAAUUAAGGAUAGUAAGAUGUGGAGUUGGAAUUUAAUCAACAACACAAACUAAGGAUAGUAAGAUGUGGAAUUGGAAUUUAAUCAAUGACAAUAUACGAGGAUAGUAAGAUACAAUACUGGAAUUUAAUCAACGACGAUGUACCAAGAUACAGAAACACGUCGGAAUCUAAUUAACAAUGAGAAUCUAAAAGCUAUAGCUAGGAAAAAUAAAGUGUAGUACAGGAAAAGCAAAGAUAAAAAGAUAACAUUUUGAUUGAUUUAUCAUAUGACUUCUGGUUGGAUGACUGGUGGUAUGAUAAACGUUUGGUAGUUACGUCUUCUCUAGUGCCUACUACUGGCUUUGUCCAUGAUCCUUUAUUCUCAUAGAUCACUUUGCCCAUACUUCAUAUAACUGUCCUAGUCGUGUUUUGAGGAUUAUGCAACUGUCGAUGCCAUUCCAUGACUGGGGCUCCAAAUAGCAAUUGAUUUUUUACAACGUGCGCCUUUGAUGCUAACUACCUUAGUGCCUUGAGUAAUAUUCAAAGUGUCUCCAUUGAAAAAGUUGUUGCUAAAGUUCAUACGAGCGGCUAUUAAUCAUCCGUCAUCAUAUUUCAACAAUUGAGCACGUGGCAUUUCUUUAUCUCAUUGUCAAUCAUCGGAUAUCUACCCUAUGUCUAUUGAUAAUCUGGCAUACAUCAGACAUUACCCAUCCAUUAUGCACAUAACUGUAACUUAUUUCUGAAGAGCUACAGCCGAGGUAAAUCUCAACUUUAAUAUCAGCUAUAUAGUUCACAAUUUCACGAAAGAUCCUAUAUUUAUGAGAGGACAUGUAACAUUUCAAUUAAGAUAAAUAUUUGUCACAUGUAUUUCCUUGUUUAUAUAAGGGACCCAAUUUGUCAUGCGAUUGAUAAAUCUCUUCGUUUGUAGCUAUACUUUUAUCUUUUAACAAUCUUAGCCCAUGGAUCAUCUUUUAACAAUCUUAAGUAAGAGUUUUCCUAAUGUGGACAACAUUAAUUGAUAUUGUAAUUUACCGUUUUACGAUUACCGUUUUACGGGAUUGGUCUAAGGUGAGAUAGAAGGUUUCUUAAUUAGUCUAAUAUGGGGUUAGCUAGUGUGGGCCGAGUUGAGCCUGGCUCGUAAUAAAAGGGCCUGGUUAGAAACUCUAUAAAUAGUGCUCAAGCCUCUCCUCUAACCCUAAUUCUUACAAGUAUCCUCACAUAAGGAGCGUUUACCUAGCGCUAAAGGGUGAGGGGUUAUCUCAUUGAACCAGUGAUAUGGAGAGCAAUAGAGGAGAAUGACUUGCACGUUGAUCAUCGCUUUUCCGUUUCCGCAGCAAGAACAAUGGAUUCCAAUACAGGUGCGUUAAUCUUUCUACCUAUUCAUCUAUACUCUUGUUCUAAUUAUGGACAUCUUGGGGUAGCACGUUUUGCAUCUUACAUAUGGUAUCAGAGCCGCCAUAACCCUAGAACUCGAACGCAUAAAAUUUUUACCCUAACCGGUCAACUGUUGAUCGGACCGAACAGUCAAGCCAGGAACCGGUCGGACUGCUUCCGGUCGGAUAGGUUUUUGAUCAGUCUUUUCACCCGCACGUGAGCUCUACGCACCGCGCACUCAGGCGGCGCGUGUGGGAGCGUGGGAGCUUCGAUAGGCGCGUGGCUGGUGGCAUCAAAUUCGUAUCGCCAUUCUCUAUCUUGUGGUGUGUUUAUUUUACAUGUUUGAUGAUUUUAUGGAUGUGAAAAUACAUACGAAACCCUAAAUACAUAUAUUUUUAGUGCAUUUGUACGUAUUUUUCUUGUAUUUUUCUGUGAUUUUGGAAAUACAGGUGUUGGGUUACAGGUAUGUUAUCACAUAAACAUUAUAAAAGUGUGAUUCAUUAAUAAAAGUUAAACUUUAUUGUGAACUGAAACUGACUUAAUGAGAUACGACCAUUAUGAGAUAGUAAUUGAACUAUGUAUUGAGAUGAUGAGAAACAGUAAAAGGCUAUGAAAAUUUUGUCGCUCAAGUAUACUCUUUUACACGCAUCUUGAUGUAUUUUUGUUUCUUUUUUAUAACCUUUGAACGAUGGACGUCUUAAGAACUCGUGACCAAACUAAUUAUACUACUUAACACAUCUGAUAAAUGUGAGUAAUGCAUGUCAGUUAAAUUAUCGGAUACUGUACCUAAACUCAUCUGGUCACUUGUUGAUGUCUAUCAAGUUGAACAUUUUUUAUAAUUAAGAAGUAUGACAACAUUUACGUAAGAGCAAUAGUAUCUACUGUUAUAGUUUAGAUAUUUGAUUCUACGGUUUGACUCAAUUAAUAGGCCACUAAUUGAUACAAUGAUAAUUUGUUACUUAAAAGUGGCUAAUAAAUUAGCUGUCAGGCUUGUCAAUCUGGGAUACCCUGUAUUGUUAUUGAUAUUAACUUGUGAGAGAUCCCUUGGAUCAACAUUCUUCUUUAUGUUGUUCUGGUAAUCUAUAAUAUGGGUGCACAAGAGACGCUUUCUUCUAUGUUAUGAGAAGUUUCUUGCGUUGCUAUGAUCGGUGAUCUUAUUGGAAUCUAUCUUUUAGGUCCUUUAUAUAUAUAUAUAUAUAUAUGAUUGAUUUUCCUAGAUGAAUAAAGUAGUGUAAUCAGCAUGAUAUGUGAUUUUGGUGAUUUACUGCCCCUAUCAUUAAAGUUAAAAUCACAUGUAUAUGAUAUAUGUGAGAAGCAAAGUUUAUAUCCCUAGUAUGAGAAAGUUUCAAGAAUUCAAUUGAGUAGUGACCGCCAAAGUGGUACACUUGAUUGGGUUUGAGAAAUAUCGGUCUCAUAUAAUGAUGGGGAUGUCUCAAGUUAUAAUGCGUAGUCAUACUUUCAAAGGAGGUGAUUGUGUAUUAGUUCAUGGAGGGAUACAUGAUGAUGUGGUGGAUAAGUGACUGAUCCUAGUGGUUCAUAUGCCCAAAGGUGAUGAAUUCACGAAAGUUAAAAUAUAUUCUCAUAACCGCUAUCAUGUAGGGAGUGUACAACUACAUGUCAUAUAUUCUGCCCAAAAGUAAUUAUAUGAUUUUGCAUGUAAUUCUCUGGAUGUGUACUUAUACGUCAAGUUACAUAGUGCUCACAUGAUGGUAAAUAUAUACAUUACUUGUUUUUUCAGUCGCCUUUUCUGUAAUUAAUAACUCUAUUAUUAUUGAGGUUUUUACUUGUUCAAAUUUUAAGUAGUUGAAAUAGAAUUUUCUAUUUGGUGAAAGAGUAAUCGGAUUUGCUCGUUAUUUAUGAAGCGUUUCAUUUAGGAACAUUUGAAAAGUGAUUUACCAACUGACUGCACUUCUUAAAGAUGAUAGAAGCUUUAGUGGCUUGAAAUUAUGUCUUGUCUAAUAUCGAAAUUAGGACACAUCUGCAAGGAUUUUUUAACAUAAUGAUAUAUGUGUCUCGUAUACGGUUGAAAAUGUUGUUUCCAAAAGUUUUCUGUCUUAAAGAAUCAUCUCACACAUGUCUAAAGAAAAAGUAGAAAAGUUGACAAUGUUGAUAUUCUGUCUACUAUUAACGGUUUUUUAAAGACUUCUAAAGAUUAUUGUGGAAAUAAAAUGACCGAGAUAAAAAAUAAAACAGUUAGAAUUAGUCUUAAAAGUUGUCAGGCCUAAUAGUGGCGGUAAGUAUUUUGGCAAGUAUGGCAAUACUGAAUAGCUUAAACGGACAUUUGUCAAAUACUAGGUAAAUUCUAGGGUGGUAACUUAAUUUACUAUGCCUGAAAAUCCUGACAAAAUGAUUUGGCUGAAAGGCAUAACUACACCAUAAUCAACAUGGUGAUGAGUAUGAUGAGUAAGACUAAUUUUUCAGGUCUUCUGUGGGUUGAUAUUUUGAAAGCAACUCUUUUCAUAUACAAAAACGUGUUUCUUAUCAAAGUUAUUCCCUAAACUUCUUUUGAGUUAUGGAUUGGACGUAAAUUUACUUGAAUAAUAGUAAAAUUUAGAGGUGUCACGCAGAAGUGAGGUUAUAUAAUCCAAUAUUAAGUGCGUUGGAAUUCAGAUCCACUUGAAAUUAUUUUAUAUCUUACCCAAAUUGUUCAAAGGGGUAUCGAUUUUAUAACAGUAAUGAAGGUACAAGUAUUAUAAAAUCACAGACAGUAAAGUUUCUAGAGUUCGACGUGAUUGUAAAGGAUAGUUACUCUCAGACUAUUAAGGAUAAUAGUACGAUGGAGAUCACUGUGCCUUUGUCUUUACCUAUACAGACAAUUGUGGAAUCUCCUAUACCAUAGACUAAACUUGUUGAGGUUCAAGGUACCAUUAUUGAUAUAGUUUACGUUGAAAUUUCUCAAACCUCUAAAUUGCAUAAUGAAGUGGUUGUAGCUUUACUCAGGAGAUUUGUUAAGGAAAAAUGAUCAGUUAUACCAUCAAACUACAUAAUCUAUCUGUGAGAACAUGACUUCAAAAUCUAUUGCAUGGUUAAUUUAGCCACUUAUAUAAUUAUUGUUUCUUGGCCUCAAUCAAGUAUAUGAUUAGAUGUCGUAAAAGACAAUAUGCAAUCUAUGAAAUUUUAUAGUGUUUGGAAACUUACUGACUUGCCUAAAGAUCACAAGUUCAUUAGUUGCAAAUAGGCGUACAAAACUAAAAGAAUUUCAAGGAAAGAUUGUGGAGUUUAAAGCUAAAUUGGUAGCUAAAGUUUUCAUCUGAAAGAGGGAUGGAUAGUUAAUAGUGAAAAAAUAAUUAUUUCUUUCUAGUAUUUUUAAAUAUUCUUUUAGAGUGAACAUGGCAUUAAUAGUUUAUUUUUGAUAUGGAGUUACGCCAAAUAGAUACUAUCUUUUCAAACGAACACUUUGUAUAGACUGAAAAGUCUUAUUCAUGGUUUAAAGCAAAUUUCCGGACAAUAUUAUUAAAGUUUCAUAAUGUUGUUAUUUUGUUCAGUUGGGAACAAAGUAAUUCAGUAUAUAUAUACUGCGAGGUCAGUGAGAGGAAAUUUAUUUUUCUCAUACUCUUUAUACAUGAUUUUUUUCUUACAAGUAGUGACCUUGAGGCAUGGCAUCUUUUGCCCUUUGCACUGAGGUCUGUAAGGGUUGUUCUCGCCAUAUAUGUCAGAUUUAUCUCGGAGGACAUUUGCUGAUCGUAUUUUGGAAAUAUUCAAUAUACAUUAUUGCAAGUCAGAAAUUGCUCAUGUCAUUAAGGGUGAUGGACCGAAUCUAUUAUAUUGUUCUUAUUUAGAUAUUGAGAAAAUCAUGGUGUACUUUGUGUUAGCGCACUUAAAAGUAUAAUGUAUGCUCAAAUUUGCACUAGACUAAAUAUCGUCUUUGCAACGGAACUUCUAGACAGAAAUCAGUCAAAUCCAAGACGCGAUCACUGGGUUGCUGCCAAGAAGGUUUUAAGGUACUUAAAGAGGACAAAAGAUUAAAUGAUAAUUUAUAGACAUGUUCAAUUCUUGCAACUAAUAAGGUAUUUAGAUGUAAACUUUGUUGGCUGUUAUGAUGAUAUGAGAUUAAUAACGGAAUAUAUAUUUGUAUUAAUAGGAAGUGCAAUAAAUAAAGUUCUAUGCCAUCUUCUACUAUGUAAGCAAAGUUAGUAACAUUCUUUUAAGCUGUUAUUUGGGCUAUUAGGCUCUGGAACCUCAUUAAGGAAUUGACUAUUUUUAACUUUAUGAAUAAACCCAUAUAAUUGUAUUGAGACAAUAACUUUGUAGUAUUAUUUAUUAGUAACAAAGGUCUCAAGGGGUCUAAAUAUAUGACAGUUAAUUUUUUUACCAUAAAGAAACAGUACAAAAAUGUGAUGUUAUAAUAUAACAUAUUUCCACAGAUGACGUGGUUGCAGAUCCACUAACUAAAGGACUUUAUUCUUCUGUUCUUGAAUGACAUAUCAUUAAUAUGAGCUUAAGAGCAUCAUCAUAUGCUGUUAUUUAGUAGGAGUUAUUUUGGCUUUACUCUAAUAAAGUUUACUUCAGUAUUCGUUAUACUUAGUAACGGUUUGAUAUGUAUCAACUUUUGCAUUCAAUAAAAUAUUUUUGAAUAUGUUGUCAUUAUGUUGAAUACAUAUUGAUAAAAGCCUCAAGGUAUUGUAUAAACCUUAAGUGAAGGCUGGGGGCAUCCGGUUAUUAGCUUUGUACAUAUGUCUUGUUAUACAUAAAGAAAUAUUAACCGUAAAGACAAGGCAUAUGUGGGUUCAUUGGAACCAUAAAGAUAAUCUCUAGUGGCACAAGUUUUUUGUGACGUUUAAGAUAAGAGAAUGGCGACUGAAAAAUGGGAUCUCUUUAUGAGAGAUGUUAUCCAUUUGCCACAUUACCAUAUUGAAUCCAUAUCAAUAAAAUUGAAAGCACUCAUGAUCAUGAAAGGCUCUAUGUAUGUACAUGCAGUUACCACCAUAAUUCGAUGUUUGAGACUUUAUGGGAUGGGAUUGACUAUUAAGAAUUAUUUUUAGACCAAGGUGCGCACAUACGGUACAAUUUCAAUUAAUAUAGUCCAAGUGAGAGAAUGUAAGAGUUUUCCUAAUGUGGACUACAUUAAUUGAUAUCGUAAUUUGCCGUUUUACGGGGUUGGUCUAAGGUAAGAUAGAAUGUUUCUUAAUUAGUCUCAUAUGGGGCAGGCUAGUGUGGGCCGAGUUAAACCUGGCCCGUAAUGAGAAGGCCUAGUUGGAAACUCUAUAAAUAGUACUCAAGUCUCUCCUUUAACCCUAAUUCUCACAAGUAUCCUCACAUAAUGAGCGUUUACCUAGCGCUAAAGGGUGAGGGGCCGUCUAAUUGAGCCAGUGAUACGGAGGGUAAUAGAGAAGAAUGACUUGCACGUGGAUCAUCGCUUUUCUGCUUCCGCAUCAAGAACGAUGGAUUCCAAAACAAGUGCGUUAAUCUUUCUACCUAUUCAUCUAUGCUCUUAUUCUGGUUAUGGAGAUCUUGGGGUUGCACGUUUUGCAUCCUACAUCUUAGCCCAUGGACCUGCAUCACUGAAUGGACACUUCUAAUGUAUUCGAUUCUUGGAUGAGCAUUUUUCUGGCUCGGCAGUGAUCGACCCAUGUGGCCACGAUGAAUAGUGGAAGCAAAAUUGACAUUGGUGAACAAAGCUUAACAGAGAAGAUGUCGAGUCCAAUUGAAGAAAUCGCACAGGACAGGGGUGGGACCGUGCAUCGAUAAAUCCAGGUUCUUUCUACGUAUUCUGUCGUUGGAAUGCAAGAGAGAUUAUUGAGAAAGUGUAUAAAUGAAGUCUCUAUUAUCUUUUACGAGCUAAGGGCAUAAGCAUAGAGGCUCAGUUAUCUAAAGGUUCUUGAACACUCUACAAGCCUCAUAAAUAGUUUGAGCCCUAGUUUUAUAAUUGUUGGCAGGUUUGGAUAAAGGUUCUAAGGCUUUGAUUGAGAAGUCAUGGGAAAUCAGGUGGAUAGGUUAUUUGCAUAUGGACAGUUCUAGUAAAAUUGUUGACUCUGGAGAAAUCAGCUUAAGGUUCUUCAUGGGAUCCAAGUACCACAUAGAUAGAUAUAUGCUAUUAGAUGGUUAUUUUUUUUCCACCAAAAAACAUCAUAUGAUAGAAAGUACGGGUUAUACCUAUUCCCUAAUGUAGUUUCAUUUUGUAAAUGAACCAAUUAGUCCUUUCCUCUCCUAAUCCCUGGAAAGUACGCGCACAACCUAGGGAUUUCAUUUAUCUCUUGUGGAAGUGAUUAUGAUUAGGUUUACUCAUAAUGGCGUCUAAUGACUUUAACCCUAAUUCAGGAUUAGCUAGCCAAUUACAGAGUGUCUCUACUGGAGUACAUGCACAUAUAUGGAAAAUCAAAGUUUCACAUCUUAAAAAUUUAUCAGAUCACUGUACAACUUGAUUAAUUAACCGAUAGCUGUCCAAUAUGAGAUACAGAUCGAUGCCCUUUUGUUGUUUAAUCGCAUUAAUACAAAAGACUUGUCCUUUUGCGAAAUUGGCAUUUUGCAUUAAGCCAUUUGUUUUGCAUUACCAAGACUUACCAUGUCUGAAGCAUAGAUAACUGCUUUUCUUUAAAUGCGUUUUUAUCAGUUAGAUUAAUGUGACUUACUACCUAAAUAGUUUUUGUUUGUAGCUAAUUCCAAAGUGUUUGUUCUUAUAAUCUUCCAGCCUUUCAUCAGUCUCAUGGGCUUUUUUUCCCAUCACCCUACUUUGUUUUGUGCUAAAACGCAAGACUGACGGCAAGUGUAUCUCCAAUCGAUAGAAUCUUUUAGGAGGAAAUUCUAUCCAAAUCGAACUUUUAUUUACACUAUCCCUUCAAAAUUUUAAACAUAUGUGUUUCUUGUGGGAGAUAUCCAUAAUCGUAACUUACCCAUCAGAAGAUUGAGUAGGAGGAAAUCAUGACUUUUUUUUUUUUUAUAACAAAAGAAGGCAGAGAAUAUUCGAUAUGAUACUUAUUAAUUGCAAAUUAUAUUAAAAAAAACUAAUUAAGUUUUAUUUCUUCCGCUUGGUAGAGAACAUUUGAUAUGAAACUCUAAUUAACUGCAGAUUGCAAAACUAGUGAUUAAAGGCGCGAAUGAUAAACAUUCUAACUAGAAAUUGAUUUCUGGAAGAGAAAUAGAUUUUUUUAUUUCUAUUUCUAAAUGAGUUUCGAAGCAAAAAUACCCGUUUGAUAACGACACAAAAUUUCUACUCUAAAAAUAGAAAUUCGUUUGAUAACGACAUAAAAUUUCUUCCUUUCACCGACCAACGCUGCCGCCAUCUGCCGUCCGCCAGUCCGCAAUGAAGACCGGUUCAUAGUAAGGACGAAUGGUUCAUAGUAAGGAUGAACGAUGAGAAUAAUUUUUAUUUCUCAUUUCUGUUCCAGAAAUAGAAAAGUAAAAAAAAUUUACUUCUGAUUUCUAUUCCAAACCUAUUUCUAAAACAAAAAUCUAUUUCACAAAUAGAAAAAUAGAAUAAUUUUAUCAAACGGAUUUCUAUUAUAGAAACAAGUCUGGAAUAGAAAAAUUAUUCUGGAAUAGAAAUUGUAGUUUGUCAUGCACCCCUAAGAGUCCCAACUUGAUAGUUUGUGUUAUAACGUCUGACAAAAAUGUUAUGAAACUAAUAGGGGUGGACACACAUUGCAAUAGGAACACCCCCACCUCCGUCCUAGCCUAACUAGCCCUCAUUAUCGUCGAAUUUGUCAAUUGACGAAUGGAGCAGAUUGGAGCCCGUCGAUUGAUCCAAUUAUAUGAUUGAGAAAUCUCUAUGUUUAUAGCUAUACUUUUACCUUUUACCGAUUUUCUACAAAAAUUUUGUUACGUGUGGAAUAAUGAACGGUCCAUAAUUAUUUGAAAUUGCCGCGGAAACGGACGGCAACUUUUUAGCAUCACCUUACUGCGAAGACUUUGUUGUGGGCUACGACUAGCGCAGCCCUUGGGCCUGCAUCGCUUGUGAAUGGCACUCACGACGUACUCGUUUCUUGGAUAAGCAUUUAUCUGGCUCGGUAGUGAUCGACCCAUGUGUCCUGGAUGAAUAGUAGUAGCAAAAUUGACGUCGGCGAAGAGGGGUCAACAGAGAAGAUGUCCAGUCCAAUUAAAGAUAUCAAACACAUCCGGGGUGGACCCGCCUUUAUCCAUGCGUUCCCAAACUUUAUGGACUGUGCAUCGAUAAAUACAGUGUCUUUAGAUGUAUACUGUCGUUGGGAUGCAAGAGAGAUCAUCGAGAACGCAUGGGGACCAAGUUCCUAUAUUUACGAGCUGACGGCAUGAGAGCAGAGGCUUGGUUACCUGGAAGCCUAUAGAAAACCCUGCAAGCGUCAUGGAUAGUCCAAGUGGUCUGCGCAGGUGGUUCUGACUAGAGCAGCUUGUACACGGUUAUUGGAAUUCAAACAAAUGAACUCCAAUUUCUGACUUACCAAUCUCUAGAUUUGCAAUAGGCAAAUUGUUUCCCAUUUUAUCCAGUUCACUGGGUCAAGUUACAAAGAUAAUCUAAUUCGUUUGGAUAAAAUUUCUUAGGCUUUGAUUGAGAAGUCACGUUGAAUAAGGUGGAUAGGCUAUUUGCAUGGGAACCAAGAACCACAUAGAGAGAUAUAUCCUAUCAUAUGGUUAAUUAUUUCCACCAAAACAUCAUAUGAUACAUGAUAGAAAAUGUGGAUUAUGCAUAUUCUCUAAUGUAGUUUCAUUUUGCAAAUGAACCAAUUAGUCCUUUCCUUUCCUAAUCCCUGGAAAGUAAGCACUCUUCCUGGAGAUUUUCAUUUAUCUCUUGUAGAAGUGAUUAUAAUUAGGUUACUGAUAAUGGCAUCUUAUCACAAUGACUUUAACCCUAAUUCAUGACUAGUUAGCCAGUGACAGUUUAUCUAUUGGAGAGCAUGCACAGAUAUGGAGGCAGCGGGGAGAAUCUCAUCUGCACGUGAAAUCACAGCUUCCCAUCUUGAACAUUCAUCAGAUUACUGCACAUUUUGAUUAAUUAACCAGGGCCGGUCCAAUCUGAGAUAUAGAUGGAUGCUCUUUUCUUGCUUAAUCACAUUAUUAGGGAAGAGUUGUCCUUUACGAUAUCGGCAUAUUGCAUUAUUCCAUUUGUUUUUCAUAACCUAAGACAUGUCCUAUCGGAGGCAUAUAUGGAUGCUUGUCUUUAAUCAAGUCUUUUUCAAGUAGAUUGAUAUAAUUUACUACCUAAGUAGUUCUUGUUUCUAGCUAAUUCUCAAGUGUUCUUUUUUUUUUUUUUUUGCCUAUUCUAUUUCAUCCUUUCACCAAUUACGCGGGCUUUCCCAUCACCUUCUUUUAUUUUGUGCUCAAACGCCUUACAGAUUCCACGUGAUGAUAGAAUGAUUAGAGUCCAACAAAAAUCUAAUGCCUCGCUCUUUAUUAGUUAGAACUUAGGAGUUCCCCCACAGACCAACUUAUUUUUUGAGCUUAGGAGUCCCUAGAAACCAACUUAUUUUUUAUAUUUUCCUUUAUAUCAUGCUUUUGAUUAGUAGGUCAUAGCUUAUGGACAUCAUUCACAUGUAUACUCAAUUCAAUUUCAAUAAGGACAAUAUCUGUAUAUGUAACUAACCAAUCAUAAGACUGAGCAAGAGGAAAUCAUGACCCUUUUUUAACAACAAAUAGAGUCAAGGGAUUGCGAUGAUAUACCUCACUCAAGCCUUAGGUUCAAAUCACCCCGUUUGUGCAAGUACAAGCCUAUGUAUCAACAGUAAUUACUCGAUUGGUGUUAUAGAUUUGUCUGAGAAUCAAACGGAAUACAAUACUUGUUAAUUGCAAGUUGAACUAGAAUAACUAUUAAGUUUUAUUUCUUUCGCUUGGCAGAGAACAUUCGAUAUGAAACUCUAAUUAACUACAAAUUGAACUGACACAAGUUUUGUUUCUUUCGCUUCAUCCAUUUGUCCUAGAGAAUCUCUCUCUCUCUCUCUCUCUCUCUCUCUCUCUCUCUCUCUCUCUCUCUCUCUCUACCAUCAGUCCUAUAAAUUUCAUGCUCAAUCAAGCGAACCCUCCAACAACAUCAGCAUUCCCUCUCUCUAAAGAAAUGAGCGAGAUCGGUUUUAUCAAAAUGUCUCUCUUCUCCCUCUUCCUCGUCCUGCUGUUGCCACUCCAUGUUAGUUUUCUCAAGCUCUCUUCCCUCCCCUUCCACACACCAUAAUCACUGCUCAUCCUAUUUACGAACUUCGCAUGCAUUAACACUCAUAGUUUGUUGACCUUGUUUAUGUUCCUAUAUAUGUUAAAAGAGACAUGCGAAACAAAAAUCACGAAGUGAAAGACAUAUAUAAUGCCAUAAUAUAUAGGAGGUUUAUGUGUUCGCUUGUUUUUAUAACGUAGUGUAAGUCUCCAUUACUUAUGCUAAGCCAGAUAUGAUGUAUUGACAAAGAAAAAAAUGACUAUUAUCAUUCAGAUUGUGGACAUAAGUUGAAGGAUUUGUUAGGAAUAUUUAUCAUGCUAUCUAUUCUAUUCUUAAAAGUUGAUUUCAUUCUUGUUAUCUCACGGGCAUAACUUCUUGCUACUUUGCUUACGACCAUUUGCACGUUCAUUGCAGUUUCAUCCAUAUCCCAUGUAUAUGCUGCAUAAAUAUUUCACGAAGUCUGUUUGGCAUCGUAUUGCGAUUGUGGUGUAGCCUUGUUUGUCUUAUGACUGAGUUGUAAAUUGAAUUUUAGGGUUCGAUAUCUUUUAAACUAGGUGAACUAUCCUAGGUCGGUUGCAUCGUGCUAACUUUCUAGUCACUCAUUGAUUUUCUCUUUCGUCUCGCUAUAGGUUGUUUCCACCACCGCGAGAACCGCCGCCAAUGCCAACUCCCUUGCCGGCGAUGCCAACUCAAUCCCUCCCAAAGAAUAUUUUGUCCGUUACUGGACUGAACAAAUCACUAGCAACCCUGCCAUACCACCACUGCUCACAUCCAAAGUUUCACCCUUAACUGCUGCACAAACAACCCUUUUUGCCCAGCUCGUGGCUAAAGGUGCCAUCUCCGAUCACCUCUCAUCUUUCUGCAGGGCAGCACAACUGCUCUGCUUCCCAGCCUCACCACACUAUCCAGUUGGCUACACUGUCGAAAAUAGUGCCACGACGCGGGCAGGUGGCAUGAACGUGAACAGGGGCGUGGAGCCUAAUACUUCCGGGAAUCGAUGCUGAGGAGUGGGAAUGUGAUCCGGAUGCCGGAUCUUCGUGUCAAAUCUCCCAAAAGGUCGUUUUUGCCUCGCAGCAUUUCCUCCGGAUUACCGUUCUCCAUCUCGAAACUCGCCGAGCUGAAGCAAAUCUUCCAUGCUGGGGACGAUUCCAAUAUGGAGAAGAUCAUGAUGCGCACACUCAGCCAGUGCGAGCAAGCGCCAAUCCAAGGUGAGACCAAGCGAUGUGUAAGCUCUGUCGAGGGGAUGAUCGACUUCGCCACCACAAUACUAGGCCACGACAUCCAGCUUCACUCCACGGAGAGCGUCGAAGGGUCGAAGCGUGAGAUCUUAAGACUUCGGAUUAGAUUUUUAAUCAUUUUGAUUUCUUUGUCGUGAUAAUUAGAGUUAAGAUAAUCGUUAAUUUGACCUGUGAGACAACAAGUUAUUUUUUCGAUUAUCUACUCCUUUAUUUUGUUGAUAGCUUAGAUUUAAUAUUUAUUGAAUAAUUACUUAUCUUUUAAGAAAAAAAGCUACAAAAUCAAAAAAAAUUAAAAAAAAAUCAAAAUUAUGCAUGAGCAUAUAGGUUUGGUAACUCAGACAUUUAGGUUUAGUAAAUUAGAAUUUUCUUAGGAUUACAUUUUUAGGAUUGCAUUUUUAGAAAUAAGUUAGAGUUAAACCUAAUUAAUUUUUUAGGGUUUUAGAUAAUGUUCGCACAUUUAAUUACCUCAUUUUUCAAAAAAAAAUAGUUUUCUAAGAUAGGAUAGGGUUUAAGUCAAAUUAAUCCCUAGAAUAAAUUAGAAAAUUAUCCCUUUUUAGAUAGAUUAAUUAGGGUCUUCAUAAAUUCUAAACUUCAAUAAAAAAAAAUGCAAAAAUACUAGGUGCAUGUUAACUAGUUUGCAUAAUAGAAUCAUUUAAUCAGAAUUUAUUCAUUAGUGAAAUUAGGUCAUGAGGUGCAUGUUAAUUAGUUUGCAUAAUAGGCCCAUUUAAUUAGACUUUGCAUAUUAAUAAGAUGACUAAAAAAUGCAUUUUCAUAAAAGAAUUCUGAUUAAAAAAGAAAUAAAAAAAAAUUGUUUACUUCGUGUGAUGCAAUUUAUUUAUUGAAUGUUUGAGCAUCCGUGUGGUCACUUUUUGAAUGAUAGUAGUUUAGGUUAAAAUAAAUUAGCUACCUGCCAAAAAAAAUAAACAUUUUUGAAAAUUAAAAAGAAAUGGUACCGAAAGGGCAUUAGAGAGAUCUAGUGUAACCAAAUCCCCGUACCUUUAGUCUCUGGUUCGUAGAAGUAAAAUAAUUCUCCCAUUAUUUUACUUAGGUGUCUAAUCGACCUACCAUAAAUCGAUCAGUGGCGACUCCUAGAUAAUAAUCAUUUGCAUGUUAAAUAUUUGAAUAUCAAGUCGUGAAUUGGUAUGGGCUUGGGAGAGCUUGAGCUAAAUUUAAAGACUUAGUAGUCCAUUAACCUAGUUUUAGGUGGUGCACCCGAAAAAUAGGUCGCGACAGUCGUCCACUGACAAAGGCGGUUUGUUCCAUAGAAAUCAGCUUAGGUAACCAAGGUUUUAGGCGAUUGGCAAUUACCUUCGAAAUGACUUUAUAUGUAAAGUUACAGAGACUGAUUGGUUUGUAUUGCUCCAUUCUCUUUGGAUGAGAAGUCUUGGGAAUCAAAGCUAUAAUAGUGCGGUUCAAAUUGGCCAACAUCCGUCCUGUCUGAAAAAAAUUUUGAACUAGAAGAACAAGAUCGUCUUUUAUAACCUCCCAAUGUGUUUGAUAAGAUAUUCCAUUGAAACCAUCAGGGCCUGGUGCCUUAGUAGAUCUCAGCUGAAAGGUAGCCCGGCGAAUCUCCUCUGAAGUAACCACUUCCAGCAAUUGGUUGUUCAUUUCAUUGGUAACCACCUGUGAGCAUUGUUGAAUUAUGGGACUAUACUCUCGAUGACCCACCAUUGUAUAUAAACCUGAAAAGAAAUUGCGUGCCAUAACCUGUAAAGUAUGAGGAUCUCGAAUCCAUUGUUGGCGAUCAUCUUGAAAAAAUCGGAUAACUUACCGAUAAAUUUAUCGAUAGAAAAUAAUGCAUAGAUUAUCGAUGAGAUCCUUCACUAGUAGACAAAUUGAAUGAGAUCGAUAAGCCAUCAACAACAAAUAAUUACCUCAAGUAGUUGCAAAUUUCCAGUGAAUUAUUGAGGCUGUGUAAUUCAUGACCAAAACAGAGGCUUGCCAGAAUACAUCAGUAGGCAAAUACGGUGGAUUCACACCAACACGUGAUCAUUAGGUGGUUAUGCCUAUAACCAUGGAAUUUAUGACUUCUUCUGGAUAAUCACUGUCAAAUGAUAGAGGAUAAUGUUUAUAGUCUCGUAAAGCAUAAUUGCUCACCAAUAAUUGUAAAGAGUGCUAGGAAAUUAAUCGUGGAUUCAAAUCAAUAACUGCUUGUAAAAACUGCCCCAUGGUAAGAGAUAAAGCCCCAUGUUAUACUCAUUGUAAAAAAAAUCAAUCAACACCUAAUUUUCUAUUCUUAUGCACAUUUAAUUUCUUCUUUAAUUUUCCAGGAAAUGUACCGUUUUAGUAUCUUCAUAUUUUCGUGCCUUUAAUGAUUCUCGCAACUUUUAAUUUCCGAUACUUGCACUGCAAUUUCUUUACUUCUAUAGUCAUUUAGGGUGCGAAUGGUAACGUUUCUGUUCUUUUUUUGUUCCAGGGAAUAGAAACAAAAAAAAGUGUUUCUGUUCCGGGGAACAAUUUUUGAACAAAAAAACGCGUUUGGUAACAUUUGGUCCGGGAAUAAAAAAUGAACAGAAACACGUUUGGUAAAUUUUAUUCUUUUUUUGUUUCUUUUAAUUUUUUAAACAUUUUUAUUUUAUUUUUCAUUUUUUCCUUUCUUUUUUAUUUUUUCUUUUUUCGGCCGGUCACCGGCCUCCGGCGACCGGCCAACGAGGCCGGCAGCCUCGCCCAGCCAUGGCGAGGCUCGCCGGCCCUCGGCGAGGCCGAGCCUCGCCGUGGUUGGGCGACGCUCAGCCUCGCCUUGGCUGGGCAAGCUCGAGCUCGCCCAGAUCCGGCGAGGCCGAGCCUCGCCGGGGGGCCAGCGACGCUCGGCCUCGCCGGAUCUGGGCGAGGCCGAGCCUCGACGGCCGGUCACCGGCCAUGGCCGAGGCCGGCGACCGGCGAAAGAAAAAAGAAGAAAAAAAAGAAGAAGAAAAGAAGAAAAGAAGAAGAAGAGAGAGAAGAAACGUUUCCUUCGUUUUUGUUUCUGGAGCAAGAAACAACAAAUUGUUGUUUCUUUUUUAUGUUCUUAUUUCGUUCCAGAAACAAAAAAACAAAAAAAGAACAGAAACGCAACCAAACGCGUUUCUGUUCUUUUUUUGUUCCCGGGAACAAAAUCCGUACAGAAGUGUUCCAGAAACGUUUCUUAGAAACGUUUCCAUGCACACCCUUACAUUCUUGUCUAGAACCAACAAAGAAUCUAUUUUCUUCAAUAUUCACCGAUCCGAUUCAUCUAUUGAUAUUUACACUUUUUGGUGAAACACUAGCCUCAUUGUUUGCACUAGUCAAUGUUUGGAGUUGAACUCAUGUCAAGCGUUCUAAUUAUUCCACAAACAUGUGUUACUUUUUAUAUCACUAAAGCAACUCUAAUGGAUUUUGAUGUUAUAACUUCCAAACGAAGAGUGUGUAAAGAGUGGAAAUUAGAGAAUCACAGUCUGCGUGCUCUAUAAUUUCUUUUCCAAAAAAAAAAAUCCGAUCAGUUAUUGCAAGAAAAGAAUUAUUGUGCGACAAUAGAUGCUCAAUUAUUCGAUGGACAUUAAAUCCUCAUACAUGUGUGAGUUGACAAUCAAUAAGGAAAGGUCUAUGGCACGCGUGAUGGUGAUGGAUUUGUAUCUCUCCAAACAUGUCCUAUUCUGUGCACUACAAUCCGACAUGUCUUGUCCCAUAAAGCUUAAUCCAUUAAAUUGUGAGCCACAGAAUUCACAAGCAUCUAUGGAUUUAUUGUCAUCGCUCUCAAAGAUCUCAUUUGCUAGUUGGAGCACUUCUCUCCAAAAAUGAGGAUAUAUUGAUGUGAAAUUGACACCCUAGAUAUCAGAAGUUAGUGCAUACAUAAACUUCAAUCGAUCCUUUUCUAUAUUUUUCUAAUAAUAGUAGGAUAGUAAUGUAAACAAUGCUAAGCCAGUGCCAUGCAUCCACUGUCAAAUGAAUGCACUUGUAAAAAUAACCUAAAUAUAUUUACCCUUCAUCUGCCACCGUUCGUUAUUAGCACUACCCUCCAUAAUACCGCCAUCGAUCUGGGCAUCUCUCUCUCUCUCUCUCUCUCUCUCUCUCUCUCUCUCUCUCUCUCUCUCUCUCUCUCUCUCUCUCUCUCUCUCUCUCUCUCUCUCUCUCUCUCUCUCUCUCUCUCUCUCUCUCUCUCUCUCUCUAGGUGGGCACAAGUUUUGUCUCAUGGUCAUCAAACUGGGAGGAGUAGUAUUUUUCUAAAGAAAAGUGCACCUAAAGUCUUAAAAUUUACUACGAAAAUACAUUUAAAUCCUAAAAUUUUCAAAAUUGUAAUCAGAUGUUAAAACUGAUUAAAAUAAUGUAAGUAAGUAAUACGUCCUCUAUUAUUUUUUUCCUAAAAAAAAAGAUCCAAUCAGUUGUUACAAGAAUAGAAUUUUUGCGAAGGUGAGUGACAGGAAAUUUUCUAUAAUUCAAUGGCCAUUAAUCCUCAUACAUGCGUGUCGAUGACAUGCUUGAUGGUAAUGGAUUUGUAUCUCUCCAAACAUGUCCCAUUAGGUGCAGUACAAUCCUACAUGCUUAUCUCAUAAUGCUUAAUCUUUUAAAUUGUGAGUCGCAUAAUUCAUAAGCAUCUCUAGAUUUAUCAUCAUCGCUCUAAAAUAUCUCAAUUUGCAAAUUGGAGCACUUCUCCCCAAAAACGAGAUGCUAAUGUGAAAAUGACACCCUAGACAUCUAGAAGUAAGUGCAUACAUAAACCUCAAUCGGUCCUUUUCUAAUAUUUUCUAGUUAACAAUAGUAUAAGUUAAAAUUAAACAAUGCUAAGAUAGGUGGCAUGCAUUCACAUGUCAAAUGAAUACACAUGUAAACUUAAUCUAGAGAUAUUUACUCUCCAUCAGCUUCGCCCACAACUAAAUUAGUUGCAUUGGUACUAGCCUCCAUAGCAUCACCAUCGACCCGGCAUCUUUCUUGCAGGCGUAACGUAGGCACAAGGUUUGUCUUGUCGUCAUUGAACUGAGAGGAGUAGUAUUUUUCUAAACAAAAGUACACUAAAAGUCUUAACAUUUAUCAUAAAAAUAUAAUUAAAUCCCAAAACUUUCAAAAUUGUAAUCAGAUGUUAAAACUGUUUAAAAUAAUGUAAUUAAGUCCUACGUGCUCUAUUAUUUUUUCCCAAAAAAAAAAAGAUCCAAUCAAUUAUUCAAUUAUUACAAGAAAAGAAUUUUUGUGAAGGUGAGUGACAAUAGAUUUUCAAUUAUUCAUUGGCCAUUAAUCCGCGUACAUGCGUAAGGUGACAAUCGACAAGGAAAGAUCUAUAACAUGCUUGAUGGUGAUGGAUUUGUAACUCUUGAAACAUGUCCUAUUAUGUGUAGUACAAUCCUACAUGCCUGUCCUAUAAUGCUUAAUCCUUUAAAUUGUGAGUUGCAUAAUUCAUAAGCAUCUUCAAAUUUAUCAUCACUGCUCUAAAAUAUGUUAAUUUACAAAUUGGAGCACUUCUUACCAAAAAUGAGGAUCUAAUGUGAAAUUGACACCCUAGAUAUCUAGAAGUGAGUGCACACAUAAACCUCAAUCGGUCCUUUUCUAAUAUUUUCUAGCUAACAAUAGUAUAAGUUAAAAUUAAACAAUGCUAAGAUAGGUUGCAUGCAUUCACAUGUCAAAUAAAUGCACAUGUAAACUUAAUCUAGAGAUAUUUACUCUCCAUCAGCUUUGCCCAUAGCUAAAUCAGUUGCACUAGAUCUAGCCUCCAAAGCACCGCCAUCGAUCCAACAUCUUUCUCGCUGGCGUAAUCACCUCUCUCUCUCUCUCUCUCUCUCUCUCUCUCUCUCUCUCUCUCUCUCUCUCUCUCUCUCUACGGAGGUAGGCACAAGCUUUGUCUUGUCGUCAUCAAACUGGAACGAGUAGUAUUUUUAUAAAGAAAAGUGCACUAAAAGGUUUAAAAUUUAUCGCAUCCUAAGACUUUCAAAAUUGUAAUCAAAUGCUAAAACUGGUCAAAAUAAUGUAAUUAAGUUCUACGUGCUCUAUUUUUUUUCCCAAAAAAAAAAGAAGAUCCAAUCAGUUACUGCAAGAAAAGAAUUUUUAUGAAGGUGAGUGACGGCAGAUUUUCAAUUAUUCAACGGACAUUAAUCCUUGUACGUGCGUAAGGUGAUAAUCGAUAAGGAUGACAAUCGAUUAGGAAAGGUCUAAGACACGCAUGAUGGUGAUGGUUUUGUAUCUCUCCAAACACGUCCUAUCUUGUGCAGAACAAUCCUAGAUACUCGACCCAUAAUGCUUAAUCCUUGAAAUUGUGAGCCACAUAAUUCAUAAGUAUCUCUAGAUUUAUAGUCAUUGCUCUAAAAUAUCUCAAUUUACCAAUUGGAGCACUUCUCGCUAAAAAUAAGGAUGCUGAUGUGAAACUGACACCCUAGAUAUCUAGAAGUGAGGGCCCACAUAAACCUCAAUCGGUCCUUUUCUACUAUUUUCUAGUUAACAAUAGGAUAAAUUAAAAUUAAACAAUGCUAAAACAGGUGGCGCGCAUUCACAUGUCAAAUAAUUGCACACGUAAAUUUAAUCUAGAAAAAUUUUCUCUCCAUUAGCUUGUCCCACAGCUACACCAAUUGCACUAGCAUUGGCCUCCAUAGCACUGCCAUUGAUUCGAGCAUUUUUCUCGCAAGCGUAAUCACCUCAAUCUGGGCACUGGCCUACACCAGUUCUAAAAUUUGUCGAAAAGUGCAAUCAGACCAUAAAAUUUUCAAAAAGUAUAAUAAGAUCUUAGAACUUGUCAAAUUUGUGUAAUCAAGUCCCUUUAUCAACUUUCUAUAAUUUCAUUAAUGAAAAAUGCCGACAUGAUUAUAUUAAUUACUUUUGUUAUGACCAAAGCAGAAACUACUACAAAUGAAACUAAGAAAAAUAAAAGAACACACAAAUUUACGUGAAAACUCUCAUGGGAAAAAACUACAGGGAGAGAAGAAGAAAAAUCUACUAUGGAAAUUUAAGGAUUAUCAAAGGUGGCUCGAUAAACCUUAAUAAUCUUUUUAUCACUCACUUUAAAUCUAAUAACUUGGGAAAAAAUAAUAUUUAUAUUGCUCCAUACGAGGGGGCGCAAUCCUUGCACCUUUGCCAAGGAUUAGUACUGAAGUACUGGCUUGGGCCUCGACCAACACUAAACCUGACUUUGUUUUUAUCAAGUCGGGUUGUCGCAAAUUUCAAUUUAAGUAUCAAAACUCAAUUUAGGUUGAAUGCCUGGGAACACAAUUCAAGAUAUUCUCAACAAUUUCUUGAGACACGUGGCAUCCACUAAGCACCACAUCAAAUAAUGAAACUUUUGGAAAAAAAAAAUUAAAGAAAGAAAGAGAGAGUAAAAGUAAAAUAAGAAAAAAGGGAAAAUGUUCUAACAAAAGGCUAAUAAUGAAAAGAAAGGGGAAAAAAUUAUUUUAAAAAAAAAAAAAAAAGCAAGACCUCAGCUUCUGGUUUCCAAAAGAAACAGUGGUUUCGAUUCUUGCGAGCGAAAGUUGAGAUUGAAGGGAAUGAAUCUCUUUUUAACCCCGCAGAUCGCCUACGGACACUUCUUGGAUCAGUUUUACAUAUGAAAGGCUCCACUAUUCUGCCAUGGCUGUGGUAGGAUUGGCCAUUGCCGCCACAGCUGUACCUUCAUCACAGAUGCUGCGUCGACGGAGAGGUGCUCUCGAAUUUGCGGGCUGAGUCCAGCCUUUUCUACAUCGACCCAGUUCAUUCGGUUCCAUUUCGCAAUUUUGAUAAGGAACACUAAAAAUUUGAAAAAGACUUCCUACGCUCGCGAACAUAGCAAUAAACCAAAAAAAAAAAAAAAAGUUCAGGAGGAAGAUGUAGAUGUCUACGCUAGGGUAACGACAUCAUCCCCCCUUUUUUUUCUGGUCUGAUUUCGCCUUCUAUCAAGGAGGAGCUUUGCAAUAGUUCUCAAUAAAAACCCCAUGUGGGAGGAAAAAGGUGAAGGAGAAGGGGAGUCAUCUUCAUGCAAGUGCAAGAUCUUGCCCCCUUUUUAAGUUUUUGUUCUCUCUUUCCCCCUAUCAUCCUUUUCUAUUCAUUUUUUUUUAAUUUUAAAAAUUUAUCUUUUCAAAUUUUCGAUUUUUUUUCUAAUGUGGCACUUGAUAGAUGCAUGUAUCUUAAUAAAAUAAUAAAAGAAGCGUUAGCCAAAUUGAAUUGAUUGGUUGAAAGACCUAAUUGUAUCAUUUUGACAAGUCUUAUAACUCAAUUACAUUUUUGCGUCAAUGAUCACGUAUAAUGCUCGUGACAAGGCAACCAAAAUUUCCCUUAAUUAGGUUUUCAUCUAUUAUUAGUCGGUGGCUCGACCCAUAAAAAUAUUCUAAAUUAGUAUGCGCAUAUCUACAUGCCCUCAAUGGGUUUACAGAGACACUAAGCAUAAUUAACUUUAAUCUCCAGAAAUCCACAAUUAAAAUCAAAACCCUUCUCACAAUUAAGGUUUAAUAACCAAAUCACAACAUUCGAUAAAUACACACACACACACACAUAUCAAAGCACCUCAAAAACCACAUUCAUAAAUGAUAAACUUUUCAUGAUUUUUUCAUAGAAGGUUUCGCAAACCAUUUACAAGCAAUUAAUUCAAACUGAAGUUAAAGGAUGACUCCCCAUUUUAAACAAACAAAACGGCAGUAAAUGUUCGAUCCUAUUUUAUGCAACAACAGAUGCAAUUUCUUAACUUAUAACAUAUAUAAUCCAUAUCGUUUUCAAAAUAUAAAAACACAAAAAAGAAAUAGUAUCACUUUGGGAAAGCGAAAAAUCAGCGGGAGUAAUCCCAGCACAUGACGCCAAAUACUUAUUUGUAAUUAUAAAGGGAAAACCAUUUGCAAGUUGAACUAGAAACACAGUGGUUUUGUUCCUUUCGCUUAAUCCGUUUUGUCCUUAUCGAGUCUCUGGUCCUAUAAAUUUCUGGCUCGAUCGACCAAACCCUUCGACAAUCAUCAGCAUUUCCGCUCCCUGAUUGAACAAAUACAUGCACAACAGUUUCAGCACGAUGGCUCUCACCUCCCUCCUCCUCCACCUCCUCCUCCUCCUCUCUUCUCUCCAUGUCAGUAAUUUGUCAAGCUUUCACUCUCCAUGCGUACCCAACUGCUCAUCUCUCUCUCUCUCUCUCUCUGUGUUCUCAUGCAAAGACAGGGCUAUAUGUUUAAUUCGAUAUCUCGCGCUUAAUUAGUAUAUACUUCUUACCUAAGAAUUGCUGAAAAAAUUUUGCGGCCAUUUACUCCAUUGGCAAUUACUUCUCAUCCAUUAUUUGUUAACCCAAUCUCUCUAUACUGGUUUAGAGUGCACAGGCUAUCGGAUCAAAUGGGGAGCCCAGGCUUCAUAAGAACUAUUCGAUUUAAUUUACGCAUGCAAGAAGCUAAACAUGUUAGUUUGUAUCAAAAUUAAACAUCAUAAUAUUAUAUAUAUCUUCAUACCAAAAAAAUAUAUAUUUUAUAUAAUAUAUUUAUCUCGUUUGGAUUAUCUUAACGCAUGUCAGUAGAUCAAUUGUGUUUAUGUGUUCUUUAGGCUAACAAAGAAUAUUGAAUGAAACAUAGAUAAUCAAGUGAACAUAUAAUGCUUUGAUAAUAUGAAAGCAUGUAAGUUGCAAUAGUCAUUUUAAGUGAUUAAGCAUAACGUUACUACUUUUAGACACAAGCAUCAGAUAACAUACGUUGAUGAUUAUUAGGAUUAAAUUGGUGGGUCAUCUAUGUUCAUCAUAACAAUAAUCCCAAUCAUGCUAUUACGAGGUUCUAAUUUCGUGUCACGUGACUUGUACUUUUUCGCAUGUUCAUUACAAUUUUCUGUAUGUCUAUUUUACUUCCAUAUUUAUGUCAUUGCCCAGUUACUUAAGUCCAUAAUGUCCAUUCUAAUCGUGAUUAUAUAAACUUCUAGCUCACAGUCACUCUUUGAUUUUCUUUUGUGGAUUGUCCUGCGAUAGGUCCUCACCACCGUCGCUAGGGCCACUCCCGAGGCCGACUCCCUCGCCGACGAGGCUAACUCGAUCUCUCCCAAAGCAUACCUUGUCCAUUACUGGAACAAGCAAAUCACCAACAACCUUCCCAAGCCACCAAUCCUCUUCUCCAAAGCGUCACCUCUAACGGCCGCGUCAGCGACCAUCUUCGCCGAACUCGUUGCCAAAGGCGCCAUCUCUGACCACCUCCUAUCGUUCUGCGAGGAGGCGCAAUUGCUCUGCUUCAUGAACUCAUCAUCUGAUGGGGUCGCAGCGAUAUCUCCGUCUCAAAGAUACAUAUACAUAUAUUCCGACCAAAUAAAAGAAAAAAACAUAUACGGCCUCUCCCCCCCCGAUACAAUUGUGGCAACUGAUGACAAGAAAGUAAAUGGGGGCGUGGAGCGGGGCUUGUUCUUUCGAGAGUCGAUGCUGAAGAGCGGGAAUGUGAUGCCAAUGCCCGACAUGCGGGAUAACUUGCCCAAAAGGUCAUUUUUGCCUCGCUGCAUUUCCUCGGAACUGCCGUUUUCAACCUCGAAGCUCGCUGAGCUGAAGCAAAUCUUCCGUGCCAUUGAAAAUUCCGCUGUGGGGAAGAUCAUGGCGCAAACGCUAGGCGAGUGCGAGGGUGCAGGAGUCCAAGACGAAACCAAGAGGUGUGUGGCCUCCAUCGAGGAUAUGAUCGACUUCGCCACCUCGGUUUUGGGUCAUGACGUCAUGGUCCGAUCCACGGAGAGUGCCAGAGGGUCGAAGCAGGAGGUCUUGAUCGGGGUGGUCAAGAGGAUCGAGGGCAGCGAAGUGAGCAAGCCCGUGGCCUGUCACGAGAUUCUAUUUCCUUACAUUGUCUAUUACUGUCAUACAUUUCCAAACGUCCGAGUUUACGAAGCAGACAUACUAGAUCCCAAAUCCAAGGCUAAGAUCAAUCACGGUGUCGCCAUUUGUCAUAUGGACACAUCAACUUGGAGCCCUGCCCACGGGUCGUUUCAGUUGCUUGGAUCGGGUCCUGGCCAGAUCGAGGUCUGCCAUUGGAUAUAUGAUAAUAACCUGAUAUGGACAAUUGCCAAGUCAUAAUGGAAGAACGAAGUGUGGUCAAGAUGGAAUAAACAUGGGUUCGGCCUGGUGAUCAAGAGAGAACUUGGUCUCUAGCUACCUCCAACCGAAAGCCUCUCUUGCUUUGCAUUACAGUCUAAUAUAGUAUCUGAAUCUGAUCAAUAACAACGUGUUUGUGUUUGGUGUGAGACAGUCGUUAUGGUCAGUAAAUGUCAAGUGUUUUUUUUUUUUUUUUGUGAUUUGAGUACAUGUUCAAGUCUUUUGCAUUCUCC